CAGUCGCCGCGGGAAUACGUAGGGUGCGAGCGUUAAUCGGAAUUACUGGGCGUAAAGCGUGCGCAGGCGGUUUUGUAAGACAGAGGUGAAAUCCCCGGGCUCAACCUGGGAACUGCCUUUGUGACUGCAAGGCUAGAGUACGGCAGAGGGUGAUGGAAUUCCGCGUGUAGCAGUGAAAUGCGUAGAUAUGCGGAGGAACACCGAUGGCGAAGGCAAUCCCCUGGGCCUGUACUGACGCUCAUGCACGAAAGCGUGGGGAGCAAACAGGAUUAGAUACCCGCGUAGUCCCUGUCUCUUAUAC
Molecule: ribosomal RNA, 301 nt
Filed under: uncultured bacterium
Lineage: Bacteria
Description: partial 16S ribosomal RNA
Rfam family: Bacterial small subunit ribosomal RNA
Source: RNAcentral